AUAGCGUAUAUUUAAGUUGUUGCAGUUAAAAAGCUCGUAGUUGGAUCUUGGGAUGGGGCGAGCGGUCCGCCUUUUUUGGUGUGCACUGGUCUCUCCAUCCUUUUGGUCGGGGACGCGCUCCUGGCCUUAACUGGCUGGGACGCGGAGUCGACGAUGUUACUUUGAAAAAAUUAGAGUGCUCAAAGCAAGCCUAUGCUCUGAAUACAUUAGCAUCGAAUAACGUGAUAGGACUCUGGUCCUAUUGUGUUGGUCUUCGGGACCGGAGUAAUGAUUAAUAGGGACAGUUGGGGGCAUUCGUAUUUCAUUGUCAGAGGUGAAAUUCUUGGAUUUAUGAAAGACGAACUUCUG
This 348-nucleotide ribosomal RNA is filed under the name uncultured eukaryote. RNAcentral describes it as "SSU rRNA". It matches the Rfam family "Eukaryotic small subunit ribosomal RNA", at positions 594 to 945 of the family's 1831-position model. The record is from RNAcentral.